RNAcentral lists this ribosomal RNA (171 nucleotides) under uncultured bacterium. Its description in RNAcentral is "partial 16S ribosomal RNA". It matches the Rfam family "Bacterial small subunit ribosomal RNA", at positions 796 to 1041 of the family's 1533-position model. The record is from RNAcentral.
CACGCUGUAAACUAUGGACGCUAGCCGUUGGGUAGCUUGCUAUUCAGUGGCGCAGCUAACGCAUUAAGCGUCCCGCCUGGGGAGUNCAACGCGCAGAACCUUACCAGGGUUUGACAUCCUGUGCUCGCUGGUGAAAGCCAGUUUUCCCGCAAGGGACGCAGAGACAGGUGC